UGAAUACGAGACGCUAAGGCGUCGAAGUAGUGUAUGUCAUACUUCCAAGAAAAGCUUGCACUGUCAUAGAUAAAAAACGCCUGUACCAUAACCGACACAGGUGGGUAGGUAGAGUAUACUAAGGGGCGCGAGAUAACUCUCUCUAAGGAACUCGGCAAAAUAACUCCGUAACUUCGGGAGAAGGAGUGCCUUAUUCGUAAGGUUGCAAUAACAAGAUCCAAGCAACUGUUUAUCAAAAACACAGGUCUCCGCUAAGUCGUAAGACGAUGUAUGGGGGCUGACGCCUGCCCAGUGCCAGAGGGUUAAAGAAGUUGGUUAGCAAUUGCGAAGCUGAUAACUGAAGCCCUGGUGAACGGCGGCCGUAACUAUAACGGUCCUAAGGUAGCGAAAUUCCUUGUCGGGUAAGUUCCGACCCGCACGAAAGGCGUAAUGAUUUGGAUACUGUCUCGGAGAGGGGCUCGGUGAAAUAGACUUGUCUGUGAAGAUGCGGACUACCUGCACCAGGACAGAAAGACCCUAUGAAGCUUUACUGUAACUUGAAAUUGAAAUUGGACUUUAUUCGCGCAGUAUAGGUGGGAGGCGUUGAUUAUAAUCUUGUGGGAUUAUUGGAGCCAUCAGUGAGAUACCACUCUUGUAAUGUUAGAUUUCUAACUUUGAAUCAUUAUCUGGUCAAAGAACAGUUUCAGGCGGGCAGUUUGACUGGGGCGGUCGCCUCCUAAACGGUAACGGAGGCGUACAAAGGUUUCCUCUGAACGGUUAGAAAUCGUAUCUAGAGUGUAAAGGCAUAAGGAAGCUUGACUGUGAGACCUACAAGUCGAGCAGGGACGAAAGUCGGUCUUAGUGAUCUGACGGUACUGAGUGGAAAGGCCGUCACUCAACGGAUAAAAGUUACUCUAGGAUAACAGGCUGAUCUCCCCCAAGAGUUCACAUCGACGGGGAGGUUUGGCACCUCGAUGUCGGCUCAUCGCAUCCUGGGGCGGUAGUACGUCCCAAGGGUUGGGCUGUUCGCCCAUGAAAGCGGUACGCGAGCUGGGUUCAGAACGUCGUGAGACAGUUCGGUCCAUAUCCGGUGUAGGCGUUAGAAUAUUGAGAGGAGCCUUCUUUAGUACGAGAGGACCGAGAAGGACAUACCUCUGGUGUACCAGUUAUCGUGCCAACGGUAAACGCUGGGUAGCUAUGUAUGGAGUGGAUAACCGCUGAAAGCAUCUAAGUGGGAAGCCCACCUCAAGAUAAGUAUUCUC
This 1241-nucleotide ribosomal RNA is filed under the name metagenome. RNAcentral describes it as "bacterial LSU rRNA". It matches the Rfam family "Bacterial large subunit ribosomal RNA", at positions 1564 to 2815 of the family's 2925-position model. The record is from RNAcentral.